AGAUUGAACGCUGGCGGCAUGCCUUACACAUGCAAGUCGAACGCGAAAGCGGGGCAACCCGCAAGUAGAGCGGCGAACGGGUGAGUAAUACAUCGGAACGUGUCCAGUAGCGGGGGAUAACCUCCCGAAAGAGAGGCUAAUACCGCAUACGACCUACGGGUGAAAGAGGGGGAUCGCAAGACCUCUCACUAUUGGAGCGGCCGAUGUCGGAUUAGCUAGUUGGCGGGUAAAAGCCCACAAGCUACGAUCCGUAGCUGGUCUGAGAGGACGACCAGCCACACUGGAACUGAGACACGGUCCAGACUCCUACGGGA
Molecule: ribosomal RNA, 314 nt
Filed under: uncultured soil bacterium
Lineage: Bacteria
Description: bacterial SSU rRNA
Rfam family: Bacterial small subunit ribosomal RNA
Source: RNAcentral